Molecule: long non-coding RNA, 1443 nt
Filed under: Chrysemys picta bellii (western painted turtle)
Lineage: Eukaryota; Metazoa; Chordata; Testudines; Emydidae
Description: lncRNA (ENSCPBG00000024315.1)
Source: RNAcentral
CCCUGCCCAGAGUUCCUUUUCGAUGUAACAUGACAACUGGGCGUAACAAACAGUUCAGGGUGAUGGCGUGAAAAAGACAAUUUUUACAAAAACAAGAUAGCACAGAGACUGAGCCUUUGUGCCUUUACAAGGUUCGGAUUUUAUAUUUUGUCCUUUGCUUGUUCUUUUUAAAAUAGUGUAAUAACUGAAAUGAUAUGAGUGUAUCGGUUCUAUAGUUAAUGUUUGGUAAUGUGUUUCUUGUUGGGUCAGGUUGACAUUAAUUCCUGCAUCUGCCUACUGCCCUCAUGCCUCAUGGGAGCUGAAUUUCCAGAUUCUUCAUACCCCAUUCUUCUCUAUGGCCCUUCUCUCCAAACAGACUACAUCUCCCAUGAGGUAAAACAACAGCUCAACCACAGGGAGAGACUGCAGUGCAUCAUGGGAGAUGCAGUCUGGCCAAGCAGCAUUGUCAACUCUGGUUGGAUGUAUUCUGGGAGGUUUCACCAUAUGCCAGAAUGGCGUUAGGGAUUGAGCUACUCUGAAACUCAUUUACUGUGGGGCGAGCAGUUUGCCCCCAGUGGGUGUCUAUCAGAUUUUUCAUGUGCACCUAAAUUUCAAGCACAUUACACAACUAAACAAUACUGAAAAAUCACCAGUUGUAAUAAUGUGAACCUUAUUUUUACAAGGGUGAUGGGAUCUAGACUACCAGCAUCAGUACACCCAUAGGAUGGUUGAGGGGAGGGCAAGCUCAAGUUGCCUUGACAUUUCAAACACUGGCAGGACUAUGGCAUCUCCAGGAAUGUCUGAAACUAACGACAAGCUGAUGACAAGGUCUGUUUCAACAGCCCCUCCAGCUUGUGGUUUAUUUUGUUGUUCUGACUUCUUCCAAAGAACCCAGCUCAAAUCAGAUCAUUGUUGUCUUCUUCAACAUGGGAAACUGCCACCCCUUUCCCGCCACCCACUCCUGAAACUAGUUAGAUCUUCGCCACCCACAUUAGAAUUGGACACUUCAACUUGUGAGAAGUGAAUGCCAGUUCCACCCAGGUUGAAUGCUGAUCUGAUGAGAUUCCUGCGGCGUCUAUAAACAGUGGUCAUCGGUAUGGGGAAGCCUUCAUGUCCACACAUUAUAAACUCCAUGGCUUGCUAUGUGUUUGUAUCAUGGACUACAACUAAAUAAUAAUAUUAGUACAAUUUCCAAGUAAAUGUAUUCUAUAUAGAAACGUAUGCUGAAAAUGUGCAUGUAUUGAACUGAGAGCACCUUACUUAUGCCUCUAGAGCCUUUUACAUAGGUUUGGCAGAAUUUGAUUUUUUAUUUUCAAUCACUUUGAUAGUUAAUCUCAAUGUUUAUUUUUAAGCAUUUUUUAAGAACGUUAUCAAUGUACAUUUUCAGUUACACAAAGUUAUGGGUUUUAAUAAUUUGUAUUUAUAUUUAUCAAUGUACAUGUUCAGAGCUGCGGGAAGUCAUGG